UACGUAGGGUGCAAGCGUUAAUCGGAAUUACUGGGCGUAAAGCGUGCGCAGGCGGUUCUAUAAGACAGAUGUGAAAUCCCCGGGCUCAACCUGGGAACUGCAUUGGUGACUGGCAGGCUUUGAGUGUGGCAGAGGGAGGUAGAAUUCCACGUGUAGCAGUGAAAUGCGUAGAGAUGUGGAGGAAUACCGAUGGCGAAGGCAGCCUCCUGGGCCAACACUGACGCUCAUGCACGAAAGCGCGGGGAGCAAACAGG
This 254-nucleotide ribosomal RNA is filed under the name uncultured bacterium. RNAcentral's name for it is "partial 16S ribosomal RNA". It matches the Rfam family "Bacterial small subunit ribosomal RNA", at positions 524 to 776 of the family's 1533-position model. The record is from RNAcentral.